Non-coding RNA from Arachis ipaensis, 625 nucleotides. Lineage: Eukaryota; Viridiplantae; Streptophyta; Magnoliopsida; Fabales; Fabaceae. The record is from RefSeq and is a predicted model, not a curated record.
UUUAUCUUGAAAAGAUUUGACCAAACUGAUCACAUAAGAAUCUGUUAGAGAAAGAUAUAUAAAAAAAAUCAGAAAAUAAGAAUUUGUUUGGAAAACAUAAAUCUUUCGUCUAAUUGUUCUUUUAAUUAGGAUUGGCACCUUUUCUUCAUUUAAUUGUUCUUUUUCUGUAACUAUUGAUUACUCCUAUUUAUUUUGAUUUGAUUUGAUUAAAUGGUUGAUUCUAUAAAAAAGAAUGGUCCUGCUGUCAAUGGUGAUAUUAUAUCGUUUGCUGCUCCUCCUCAGCACGAUUUUACAUAUCGAGAGGUGCUUUUGUCCUCCCCCAUGCCAGAUAAUGCAGCUGCUAAUCGAAAAUGUUACUCGAUCAAUUAAAAGAAUUACAACAAAAUGUAGAUAUAAAACGCAAGGAACUAGGCGAUGUUAAUAGAGUAACUGCUCAACAGAAACAUGCCAUCGAAGACCUCAAUGAAAGGCUGAGUGCUUCUAUGCAGUCAUAUGCUGAAGCAAAUGCUAUAAUAAGUAGAGGGUUGUGCCUCUGAAAGCAAGAGAUUGAAAGGCUUAGGCAUUGGUGCCCCCGAAGGUCCCAUUUCUCUUGAUGAUUUUCGAAGCCUUCAAAGAUCAAACACAG